Molecule: non-coding RNA, 5789 nt
Organism: Lactuca sativa (garden lettuce)
Lineage: Eukaryota; Viridiplantae; Streptophyta; Magnoliopsida; Asterales; Asteraceae
Source: RefSeq, a predicted model, not a curated record
UUUUUUAAGAUUUUCCUUGUUUUUCAUCAUGAAUUUUUGUUGCGAGUAGUUAACACCUCCGUAUUUAACAUAGAUGACUUCUAAUCGUUGACUCUAUUAUAAUAUAUUAUAUAAAUAUCAUGUUACAACACUAUACUUUGCCACUUUUGAAAUUUUUACACCAAAUUUUCGACAGUAUACUCUACCUCUUUUGAAAUUGUGCCACCAAUUAUUUGUCAAUUUUUGCCGUUUCGUCCCUCGCCGCCCUUGUCAUCCAAUCACCGGCUCCUUCAUCCAAUCACCGACUCCUUCCACCGCCCUCUAUUGCUUUCAUCUACCUUUGCUUCACCGAAAAGUCUCUGCUCUCGAUUUCUAUCUCACUCUCUUACUUCUCUGUAAAUCGAUUUGAAACAACGCGGUUCCAAAUCUUUGAGGCAAGGUCAGAACAGCUUACCAUCAACAUUGAUUUUCUGUAUGUUCUCUUUCUUCUAUCCUCUUUGUCUUCCUUUUUUUUUUUUCUUCUGUACGGAAAGCAGAAAAAGAAGGUCAUCAACGUGCUUGACCGGACCUGAAGUCACUUCGAUUUCUUGGAUUAACAUACCAUAAAACUUGUGAAAUUACUUUGUUACUCAUAAAGAAGUGGAGUUUGUUUCUCAUUCAUCGAACACUUGACUGUUCUUUAAUCAGAUUUACUUUGAACUUUUAUGUGUCAACUAACAAGUUACAAAAUUACUUAUAUACCAUUACUGUUGUAUGGAAUUCAUUGUCAAAUGACUUUUGUUUGACUUGAGUAGACCAACAUCUGUUUCUCAAGGCCAUGGCAGAAACUGGUCAAAUCAAGCUUUUUGGUGAAGAGCCACCUUUGACUGAAACUGCUCUUUAUAGAGCUAGGAAGCGUUUAUAUAAAGAAGGAAGGCUGUAGGCUGAACGUGGCAGACUACAAAAAGAAGGUCCAUUAGUAUACAAUUGAGAAUGGGUUAAUUAAAGCAUGUAAAAAAGACACGUCACGUGAAGCUGUUGAAAAAACAUGGUUUUCCUUUUUUUAAGGAAAAGAAAAAAAGCGAAUAAGACGCGUGGUGGGGAUAUAGGUACAUCCUUCUAUUGCACCGCCAUUUCCUCUUCCAGAUUCAAUUGCAUGUAAGCAUCUGAAAAUGGCGUUAGGGAUUCGGAAGAAGUUGAAUUAGGGUUUUCAGUUUCUUUCACGCGUUAGCAUAUGCUUAUCAAAGUAUCAACGCGCGGCGCAUCAGGUUUUCCGCUCAUCCCCACUCAGUUAUCGGAUAUCAGUAAGUAAUUCAUACGUUCGGUUUUAUCUGUCUUGUCUUCGUAUCUGGUUAUGUCCAAAACAUUGAAGGAGAUGCUCGUUGGUAUCGCCGUCGUAUAUGGAAACCUUGAUUGCUUAGCUUGAGAUCAGUACUCACUCACCUAAUAUGAGUUUUGGUGAAUCAUAAUAUCAAAUUUGUUUCUAUUGCAUGUUCUGAUGUGGUUACACUUUCUGACUUCUCUUAAUUUGAAGUUUGAGAGAACCAUGAUUGUUGUUUCUAGAUGUCCUGAAUUGUGGCUUGCUUCAGGAUCAGGUAAUUCUUAUUUUGAGUUAUACUAGAUGUUACUAUGACAUUCCAAGUAUAGAAUACACUUUAUUUUGACAUUUAGAGACACGCAACUAUCAUAUCUUAUAUGUAGUGUCCUAAUAUUUGGAAAAUAGCAAUUACAAUAGCCUCAGUUAUAUAUAUGCCAAGAGCAUAAGUAAGAAGUCCCAAAAUGAUUAAUAAUCUACCUAGUCAACUAAAAUACAACUAGAAAUAUCAAAAGGGUACUAUUAAAUUCUCAACACACAAAAGAUAUGUCUCUACUUGCCUGAUAAAAUACAUGCCCAAAAGAAACAAGUGUUAAACUUAAAGCCUAGAAAGAAGAAGAUAUCAUUAUACUUACCUAAGCAAUGUAAAUCAUAUCUAAUAUAAUUAAGUAAACCACAAUGUAAAUAUACCUCUCUAAAGUGAUGGAUUGAAAUCAAAUGUAAGAUUUAGGCUUUGGGGUCUAAACCAAAGUUGUAGAUUUUAAUUUCCAUCAUGUAGAUUCUAGAUAGAGUUGGGUAAAGAGUCAUUGCUAAUGUUUUUAUGAUGUAAAAGGAAGGAGGGUUUGUCACGGGUGGCGUACUUUUUGAGCUUCCAUCACGUGCUUUAAUUUCUGUACUUCACUAGUUGAUGUCGGUGGUUUCCUUCACUUGUUUACAACGAAGCCCUUGAGGUUGAAAUAUGUAAGGGUUAAGCUCUCAUAGAUUUUGAGAACACGUUUUGUACAAAUGGAAUUAUUUUUGUAGUGUGUGUUCUAUGAAAUGCUCAUGAAACUGUUCCAAUAUCUAUAUUAUGUAAAUUGAUUAACGCAUUAGGUGUUUAGCUUACGGUUUCCCGGGAUUUGAAAGAAGGAUGUUCUAGUAUGAAGGGCAAGUGUUUAACCUAGGUCAAGGUGUUGAUCAAAGGCAGACCGGAGAUAACAAUGAAUAUUAGAAUACGAUGAACAAUGUUAGUGAUCAAUGGCGGAUCCAGAACCAAGAAUUAAAGAAGUCCACUUUGUAUAAAAUUUUAAUUAAUUAAUAAAUUUUAAUUUUCAAGGGUUUUUUAUUUUUAAGUUAAGUGGGUGCCAAAAAUCUUUAGUGGUGUCCAAACAUACAUCUUUUCAAAAAGAAAAAAAGAAAAACUUGUUUGCCUAUAAUAGAAGGUGGCACAUACUUUUAAGUGGGUUCCAUGCACCCCGCUAAAAUGGACUGCAUCCGCCACUGAUAGUGAUUAAAACUUGAUAUGAUCAGAAUAGAUGUAAUUCUAGUUUGUAAUAAAUCUAAUUAAUGAUUUGGAAUUAUUGUAAUUAAUAGUGGUAUGGUAUAUUGAUGAAUGUAAUAUUGGUAAUUGAGGUAUUUAACUAGCUAUCUAUGUCAAAUUCAGGGUGUUACACUUGCACAAAGGCAAUCCCCUUCAAUCUAGUAAAUUGAAUACUAGAGUUUAUGUUAACAAAAUAUAUGUCAAGCUUGUUCUCAAGAACAAGUCAAAAUUUUAAUGUUAGACAUCAGUGAUUUGUAUAUAACAUAAAGCAAUUUAAAAAAAAAAAAAAUAGAAGUCAAUUCGUUAUAAAAAUCGAACAAACAUCAAACAAAAUGAGGCCGUCUAUGUUUUCUUCGUUUCGAUAUACAAUUUGGAAUUGUGUUUGUGUCUUCUUUGAUUCGAUUUCUAUCUAUGUGAUUUGUCUAAGAUUUUCACUUUGGUCUUCUUUUUUAUUUUUCAUUCUUUACAGGAGCAAAAUGACUGAAAACUCUUUGUAUUUUUCAUGUAGUUACAAAAUUAACACUAUGCAAAAAAUAAAAAUAAAAAUAAAUCCAGUAACAUGAAGCAUGGGCUUGUCCCUUAUCUAGUUCAUGUGGUACUUUUUCUCAAGGAGACAAGACAAUGACUAGGUUGUUACUUGGUACUUGGUAGAUUCUACUAGGAUUGUCCUAGGAAUGGAGAUUUAGCCGCCUUUGGCCCAUAUUUGACCCACUAGCCCAUUAUGCUUUAUGUCUCGUUUUCUUCAUCUUCAAGGCAAGGCUUUAAGGACAAUAUUUGUAUGGGAGGAUAUUUGAGGCAUAAUUUAUUGGUAUGCACGUGCAUUACUCAAAACAAUAUUUGUAGUCUUGUUUAAUUAAAAAAAAUCUUGUUUCUAGUCCUUUUUUCCCUAAGAAGAGUGGAUAUAUUGUUUUUUUUUAAUUUUUUUAAUUUUUUUAAUUUUUUUUUAAAACACUGAAUCUGCCAUUCUUUUCAAGUGCCAGUUUUAUAAGUGAAUUUCCAUAUAUUUUUUGUAGUGUGAAAUUAUUUGAGAUGAGAUAUUUCUUUGCAUAUAGAUAUUUUUUGUUUUACUUCCUAAACAUUGCAUAUUGUUUUGGGAGGUCUACAUAAGGAUGGGCCCAUUGGGUCCAAAACUAGGUGAUUCUAAUGUUCCUUGACCAAACCUUAGGUUUUGUGUUUUUAUUCUUAAUAUAUUACUCAACUUUAUGAUCAAUUUGAAGCUUUUACUCUUGUGGUCUAAUAAACUGUGUUGGCAGGUAAAACUUUCCCAUGGUUGCAUUAGUAAUUGAUUUAUAUCUGUUAUGAUAGUUUUGUUUGUUUUGGAAGCAACAAUUCAUCACCAAAUGGGUUAUAGCUUAUCAAUUAUUCUGCAGAUGUAUUCCUAUUGCUUAUGUUUUCCAAUUGGCUCCACAGCAAGGCAUGUAUGUUGUAACAAUCUCCUCUUUUGUUUAACAAUCCAGCUAACUUGGCACCGGAUCAAUUUGGGUAUAACAAGUAAAUGCAAGAAAUAGCAACAUACUUCCAUUUAUUGUACAUUAUAGCAUCCUACUUCUAUUUCUCCCGAUUAACAGCAUUGCACUUCCAAAAAAAAUAUAUCAAGGCAUUGUACUUUCAAAUUUUUAUAGCAUAUUGUAUUUUCAAUUUUUUCUUAUUAGGACGUUAUACUUUGAAAUUCCUAACCAAAAUUUAACAGUAAAAAGUGACAUGAAUGUAUGUUGCUACUUCUUUUGCAUUUGGUAGUAAAUCAAUCUAGGUUAUAACAAAAUACUAAACCCAGAAAAGGAAAAAAGGGUAGAAUGCAUGAAAUAUCAAACCUAUGUCUGUUUAUUUGUGUAUUGCAUUAUCCUACAUUCCUUUCUACCAACUACAUCAUUGUACUUCCACUUUUUGUUCUUAUCAAGGCAUUGUACUUUAAAAAUCAUGCUCAAUUUUAGAAUAGGAGUUUAGUUUAAAACAUCUACCCAGUGAAAAGUGUAGAAUGCUGUAUUAGGAUGAAAUGAAAGUAGGUUGCUAUUUCUUGCAUUUAAGUUUAACCCACAGAAUAGAACCGCAAUAUGAAUUGAUCCCAGACAUGUGUUGGGAUUCAUCCUCCCUUUGUUCAUGUCCAGCUUCUUGUCGUUUAAAAACUAUCCAGAAAUUCUCUGCUGCUGCUGCUGCUGCUUAAUUCAUGUAAGGAGACUGUUAUAUUUUGUACAUCUAGUUGCAGUAAAUUCUACAAGAAGAGAGCAGUUUAAUCCUAGACACAAAUAUCCUAGUAUUCAUCAGAUUUUAUCUAUCUACUGUACAAAAUAAUCAACAUGUCACUGUAUUUAUAAUAGGGAAAAAGUCAGAAAAACCCCCAACAAACUAUACCUAUUGUCCCAGAUUAAUCAGGAAACCUUUUUUUUUGUCCCAGUUAGGUCUAUGGCUGUUUCAGAGUCAAUUUUUUGUGUUCCAUUUUGGCAAAAAACUUUUGCACAGCUAAAAUCCCUGAUCAAAGAAAAAAUUAAAUCCUAGCUUCCUUUUAUCCAUAUUUACAUCUUUUUUCUUUAGGUGUACAAAAAAAAUCACAUAAGGACCUAAUUGGAACAAAAAAAGUUGUGACUAAUCUGAAACAGUGGGCAUAGUUUGUUGGAGUUUUUCAACUUUUACCCUUUAUAAUAAUAUAUGUCAUGAGGUAAUAUGAGACAGGUUUUAGCAACAGGUGAUGGAUGGAAGAUGGUAUGUUAUAUGGUUCAUACAAACAAGCACAUACUCGCAUACACUGGAAACUCAUUACACAGUAUAGAGGGGUAAAAUUUACAAGGCUGUUUGCUGUUUAACUUCAGUUUUAAGGUAGUUGUGUGGGUAGGGGACAAAAACAGAAAUACAACCAGGAAUAAAGAGUUCACUGCAUUAUUAGCCACAGCAAAGAUAGAAGGUGACAACCAUCACUGCUUGAAAAACAAAUCAACUUUCUCCUUCAUAGUAUAUAUAUAUUAUAUAUAUAUAACACAUCGCAAAAUGAUGGGAGAGAUAUUU